CACGUAGUAACGCUCGGCUUCCUCUCCCUAGAGACAAGCCGUCUUUGAAUUUCUUCAGCGGGGAAACCCAAGUUAAUGCAGUCUCGUUCGUAGCCAGGUGGUGGCUGCACCUCCAGGCAUCAAAGCUAUGUUCCACACAGGAAAAGAGGAGAAUGACAAAGAUAAAAAGCUUUCUCUAGGCACCUCCUGGCUGGCUUUGACAAAGCAAACUGCCAAGUUAUAAACUGCCUAUGGAAAAGGCCAUGUGGCAAGGAACAGGUGACAGCCAGCAAAGAACUGAGGCCCAACAGUCUGCAAGGAAUUAAAUUUUGCCAACAACCAGACUGGAAGUAGAUUGAAAGUAGAUGCUUCCCAGGACUCUAUGGUGUUCGAGGACCAGAGCUAUAUCAUAAUGGUAAUUUAUAUCAUCUAUACCUAGCUUCCUGCCAGGCACAUACAGGGGUGUGGGGGUUAGUGACUGGUUAGCUAUUGUCACAGAAUACAUGGUGGAAAUAUUAGCCUGGAAUAUUGUCAGAACUUUGCUACUAAGUAACUAUCUGAUCUUGGAUGAAUCAUGUACCCCUCUAUUUCUUCAUAUGCAACAUGAAAAGAUUAAACAAUCUGUAGAUUUACUUUCCAAGCUUAUACUGAAGGGUACAAGGUUGUGUAACUUCCCUUUUCCCAAAAUAAUUUUGAGAAAAAUAAAGGCAAAAUAGUUUAGAGAUGCUGCA
Long non-coding RNA from Mustela lutreola (European mink), 710 nucleotides. RefSeq lists it as uncharacterized. The transcript is spliced from 4 exons. The record is from RefSeq and is a predicted model, not a curated record. Lineage: Eukaryota; Metazoa; Chordata; Mammalia; Carnivora; Mustelidae.